Molecule: RNA transcript, 2920 nt
Organism: Sebastes umbrosus (honeycomb rockfish)
Lineage: Eukaryota; Metazoa; Chordata; Actinopteri; Perciformes; Sebastidae
Gene name: protein FAM53B-like
Exons: 7
Source: RefSeq, a predicted model, not a curated record
AGUAGCGAGCUCUCAGCUGCUCGCAGUCCGGCUCAGUCAGUCCUGCAGCGCUGGCGACGCUGACACUGGCUGCUGCAACUGCAAGAAACUUUUUUUUGUGUGUUUUUUCCUUUUGUUUAAGAUGACCUAACGUCGAAAGAGCCUCUGCUGGUCAGGGAUCAGCUGAAGCGUGAGAUUCCCUCUUACCUUCUACCUCCACCACCACCACCGCCAUCAGCACUUUGAGGGCUGCUCCGCAGAUGGGAGGUCAUCAACCGGUCGUCUGUUUCGCCCAAGUGCACUAUCUGCCCUCCGCCCUCAUCUAAGAUGGCUGCCCGUGGCCUCCUCCUGCAUCCCAACACACUGGAGCAGAGCUGCGUGUUACCAUGGUGAUCAUUUUCUUGAAAACACUGGAAAAGAAGAAGGGUGUCGAUGAUGUGAGGUCCGUGAACACCGAGAGACGGCUGCGUGAGCUCCACACCAUGAGCAGAGGGACCACCCUCUUCUCCUGUGGAACUGUGGAGGCAGAUCGGUGGCUGGACCUGGGGCAGAGCUGUGCCAUCCAGCAGAGAGCUCCCUGCCAGUCUGGAGCCAGUCUGGAGAGCCUCUGGGAUGUGAUGCCGGAGCCAGGGAGCUGGCACUGGGCCAAGGAGCCCGGCAGCGCCACGGCAAUCACCAGUCUGAUAAGAGAUCUCAGCCUCGGCGACGGCGGCAUGACAGCCCCCCUCUCCCAUGCCGCAUCCACCACUGCUCACUACACCACUACAGCCACCAGCCAAGCUCCCGCGGCGCCGCCGAGCAAACGCCAGUGUCGCUCUCUGUCGUUCUCUGAUGAACUCAGUGGGUUCCGCUCAUCUUGGAGGCCCCAAGGCUCCCGGGUGUGGACGACGGUGGAGAAACGAAGGUGCCACAGCGGAGGAAGUAUGCGAGCAGGAGGAGGAGGAGGAGGAGGUGGGGGUUUCUCCAGCGGUCAUUUCCCCGCCAUGCAGCGUAGCUCCAGCUUCAGUUUGCCCUCCCGCUCCAGCAUCCCCUCAGACGUAGCCCUGGACCUGCCGUUCUUCAACCAGCGACUGCCUCUCCACCCUCAAUUCACUGCCUGUCCAGUCUCCCCUACCUCUCCCUCCUCGCAUCAUCAUCACCACUCCCGCCAACACCACUUCCUCAGGCCCCUCUCCCUCUCCCACGAGCAGAUCAGCCUGCCAGAGCUCCAGAGAGAAGAGGCGUCGGAGGCCAGCUCUCCAGACUCCACCCCGGAACUGGGGAGGCGAGCCGGCCCGAGAGCCAGGGGCACGGGGUGUCUGUCUCGAAGCAAGUCCCAGCCCUGCGUGCUGAACGACAAAAAGAUCGGCAUGAAGCGCAGGAGGCCUGAAGACGCCCAAGAGCAGCGUCCCUCCCUGGACCUGGCAAAGAUGACUCAGGUGAGAGUUUUCCUCUCCGUCGUCCGUAGAUGUUGCAAGAAUAGGGAUGAUUUGAUGAAAAGAAGGACAGAGGGUUCAAAUACAGAGGAUGGAAAACAGGCUCGGACAUCUGCUCACGCCUCGCUUCUUUUAUCUUGACACAAAAAGGCUGGAAACACAAAAUCCCGUUGCCAUCAACAACAGCAGUCUGGUUGCACGCUGCUCCCAAAGAUACCAUUUACAAAAUCCUUCUUCUGAGAGACUUCAAACAGAGCAGAGGACCUCCUCUGCAGCCAUCAAGUAAUUCAUUACGCAGACCAACACACACAAAGGGCUGCCUCAAACAGCUUCUGUGUACAUGACUUGAAAUGAACUUGCAGCAGGUAACCUAUGGACUAUACAGCUCUGUAGCGGUGUGUUGUGUAGAUUACACAAUCGGAGUAGUGAGAAUAAUAAAUUCUGACGUCCAUCAGAUCUACUCUACCGCCCUCCAGCUGGGUCCUGUGGGUGCGUACAGGAAAGGCGCCUGCCUUCGGUCACACAUCUGUAAACAUGGGCAGACGAGGAGGCAGCAGACGCCGAUGUUAUCACAACAGACAUUAGCCGCCGGGCGGACAGCAAAUGAACAUGAAAAUGUCUAAUUGGCAGAGUGGUCUGGGACCCCGUGGCUGCUUGCCUGGAAGGCCGGCACAACAAUACAGGAAGCCGGCACUUAUCUGAAAGGGAUGUGGAGGAGGAGGACACAGCAGACAAGUCGAGAACUGUGCAGGAUUUCUCAUAAAAUGUAUUCAAAAGAAGGUAAUCUUUGUUCGAUUAUGAAUCUAAAAGGAAUGAAAACAAUCUGUGUGUGCAGGAGAGGAAAGCGUGUGGGAAACUGAGAGCGAGGCAGCAGCGUGUAAGGUCCCGGGGAUGUUUGGAGUUUACACUGACCACCAUUUACUGAUUCGUUUGUUUGUUUACCUGGUGAUGACAUGCACGGAGCUUUGCUGAUGUGUAUCAUCCAGAGUGCAACUGAGUCUGUAUGACAACUUGGAAUACCAAAAGAAAUCAUUGUAUUCUCAAUGGCAUUUUUUGUGUUCAUUUCUCCUUUUCCUGCAACAAAAGUGUAAAUUUACACUAUAUACAUUAUGUGCAUUUGCUCAAGAUCAACACAGUACACUUUCCACUGUAAAUAAGUUUCAGUGCCGCUUUAUUUGUUGUUCAAAAAUGUGGGCAGGUGUGCAGUGCUUGGUAUUUCCUCAACUGAUCUCAACACGGCGGCCGGGUCACAAACUUUCUCAUUUUACAGCUAAACAGUACACUACGAGAUGUUUCUGAAAACAUUUUGUGCGAGAAAUAGUCAUUCCAGUAACAGAAUAUUGAUUCAUAUUUAAUCAGCGCUGCCUAGUUUGACCGUUUGAUCGGAGUUUGCGAGUGACUGACAACUGCUCAGAGAAGGCAAGGCUCAAGCUUGGCUCUGAUUGGUUGUUUUCCUCCGGUCUGUGAAAUCUUACAGAUGCUAUAAGGAGCACCGGAGGACACACCGGCACAUGAUUUUUUUCAGA